UACGGGGGGGGCAAGCGUUGUUCGGAAUUACUGGGCGUAAAGGGCUGGUAGGCGGCCAACUAAGUCGGAUGUGAAAUCCCCAGGCUUAACCUGGGAACUGCAUCCGAUACUGGUCGGCUUGAAUCCGGGAGAGGGAUGCAGAAUUCCAGGUGUAGCGGUGAAAUGCGCAGAUAUCAGGAGGAACACCGGUGGCGAAGGCGGGUCUCUGGGCCGAUACUGACGCUGAGGAGCGAAAGCGUGGGGAGCGAACAGG
Molecule: ribosomal RNA, 253 nt
Filed under: uncultured bacterium
Lineage: Bacteria
Description: partial 16S ribosomal RNA
Rfam family: Bacterial small subunit ribosomal RNA
Source: RNAcentral